GGCGGCGUGGCCGAGAGGUGAGGCAGAGGCCUGCAAAGCCUUGUACAGCGGUUCGAGUCCGCUCGCCGCCU
This 71-nucleotide transfer RNA is filed under the name Acidimicrobium ferrooxidans DSM 10331. It matches the Rfam family "tRNA". Rfam says of the family: Transfer RNA (tRNA) molecules are approximately 80 nucleotides in length. Lineage: Bacteria; Bacillati; Actinomycetota; Acidimicrobiia; Acidimicrobiales; Acidimicrobiaceae. The record is from Rfam by way of RNAcentral.